RNAcentral lists this ribosomal RNA (478 nucleotides) under Selenomonas sputigena. RNAcentral's name for it is "bacterial SSU rRNA". It matches the Rfam family "Bacterial small subunit ribosomal RNA", at positions 28 to 483 of the family's 1533-position model. The record is from RNAcentral. Lineage: Bacteria; Bacillati; Bacillota; Negativicutes; Selenomonadales; Selenomonadaceae.
GACGAACGCUGGCGGCGUGCUUAACACAUGCAAGUCGAACGGGAACCUUUAUUUCGGUAAAGGUGAGAGUGGCAAACGGGUGAGUAACACGUAGGCAACCUGCCGACAGGAUGGGGACAACAUUCCGAAAGGAAUGCUAAUACCGAAUGGAGUCCGGGGAUGGCAUCAUCUCCGGAUAAAAGAUGGCCACUGAAUAUGCUAUCGCCUGUCGAUGGGCCUGCGUCUGAUUAGCCAGUUGGCGGGGUAACGGCCCACCAAAGCGACGAUCAGUAGCCGGUCUGAGAGGAUGAACGGCCACAUUGGGACUGAGACACGGCCCAGACUCCUACGGGAGGCAGCAGUGGGGAAUCUUCCACAAUGGGCGAAAGCCUGAUGGAGCAACGCCGCGUGAGUGAAGAAGGUCUUCGGAUCGUAGAGCUCUGUUGCACGGGACGAAAACCGAGCUUGAAAACAUUGAGUUUGGGUGACGGUACCGAGC